AAGUCGUAACAAGGUUUCCGUAGGUGAACCUGCGGAAGGAUCAUUAAUGGGAUUAGACCUCUCAGGUCUUAACCUUCAACCCUAUGUUGUCUUUACCAUGUUUCUUUGGCAGGGUGAUACCUGUCAGAAGUCUUCUUGAACUCAGUAAUAAUCAUGUCUUCUGAAUAAUAAACAAAUAAAUUAAAACUUUCAACAACGGAUCUCUUGGUUCUG
Molecule: unclassified non-coding RNA, 213 nt
Filed under: fungal sp.
Lineage: Eukaryota; Fungi
Description: partial internal transcribed spacer region
Rfam family: Eukaryotic small subunit ribosomal RNA (bases 1-46)
Source: RNAcentral